Molecule: long non-coding RNA, 348 nt
Organism: Scophthalmus maximus (turbot)
Lineage: Eukaryota; Metazoa; Chordata; Actinopteri; Pleuronectiformes; Scophthalmidae
Exons: 3
Source: RefSeq, a predicted model, not a curated record
CGGGGCCUCUCUCAAACAACGGACCUGCAUGGUGGCCCCGAACAAAGGAACAAACAAUUCAGACUGGCAGGUGGCAGCAUUGUCGCUUCAAAGCAAUAAGGUUCUUCGUUGGAAUCCAAGUUUGGACCAACCAACCAACCAACCAAGGAGGCUGACGGACGGAGGUCUGUGGUAACUGAACUGAACAGGACGGGCGGAGAUUCCAGGUUGGACUGAUCUCCAGGCACUGAGCAGGGCAGGCAGGUGAGGUCAAGGGGAGACUGGUUCAAACUGCUUUAACAUGACAAGUGAGGUCGAGCCGCAUUGGACCUAUCAAGUCAGUAUUAAGAUUCAAGGGAUUCAUUUGUC